Molecule: ribosomal RNA, 430 nt
Filed under: uncultured Pseudomonas sp.
Lineage: Bacteria; Pseudomonadati; Pseudomonadota; Gammaproteobacteria; Pseudomonadales; Pseudomonadaceae
Description: bacterial SSU rRNA
Rfam family: Bacterial small subunit ribosomal RNA
Source: RNAcentral
GUGGGGAAUAUUGGACAAUGGGCGAAAGCCUGAUCCAGCCAUGCCGCGUGUGUGAAGAAGGUCUUCGGAUUGUAAAGCACUUUAAGUUGGGAGGAAGGGUUGUUUCCUAAUACGAAGCAAUUUUGACGUUACCGACAGAAUAAGCACCGGCUAACUCUGUGCCAGCAGCCGCGGUAAUACAGAGGGUGCAAGCGUUAAUCGGAAUUACUGGGCGUAAAGCGCGCGUAGGUGGUUUGUUAAGUUGAAUGUGAAAUCCCCGGGCUCAACCUGGGAACUGCAUCCAAAACUGGCAAGCUAGAGUAGGGUAGAGGGUGGUGGAAUUUCCUGUGUAGCGGUGAAAUGCGUAGAUAUAGGAAGGAACACCAGUGGCGAAGGCGACCACCUGGACUCAUACUGACACUGAGGUGCGAAAGCGUGGGGAGCAAACAGG